Molecule: long non-coding RNA, 992 nt
Filed under: Equus asinus (donkey)
Lineage: Eukaryota; Metazoa; Chordata; Mammalia; Perissodactyla; Equidae
Description: lncRNA (ENSEASG00005030540.1)
Source: RNAcentral
GAAGUCCUCUCUGACCAGCACCACAGGCCAGGUUAGGGCUGGGCUCCUCCAGGCUGCCAUAGCACUGUAUGCUCACUGUGCCUCUGUGGACGUGCUCUCGGGGGAAGGGACCCCGUCUGAUUCCUCCCUGUGCCCCAGCACCUGAAUCAGCCUGGGAGGGCUGAUGAAAAGGGAAGAUCCUACCAAAUGCCCUAUGGUUGGUGACCAGGAGCUCUGCACAAGCAGCCUUACAGACUUCCCAGAAACAUCCCAAAAGGCCAGCUCUAGAAAGACCUGAGAAGUUAACCCGUUUUUCAGAGGGGAAACUGAUGCCCAGUUGGGGACAGGUGGCACUUAAGGACGCAUGACCUGUUAGUGGCAGAGCCAGGGACUCCACCAAACUCCCCCAGCCCUCUUCCCACGAUCAUGCUGCCUCUGAACCUUGGGAACAGGCUCUGGGGAGUUCAUUUCCUCAGAAAGAAAUCCACUACCCUCCAGGUCCUGGGCUCAGGCUGGGACACCAACAUCCCUAGGACACAGUCCUGUUGUUCAAGGAGCUGUGCUGACACGUAGCCCAAAAGCUAUAAAGCAGAGUGAAAAGGAAAGAACAGAAAUGAGUGCAGAAGUGGCACCCAGGGAGAUGGGAGAGGUCAGGCGAGACAUCUUGGAAGAAGUGACAUCUAGACUGAGUCUUGAAUGAGAGUUUACAAGGAGGACUAAGUUGGAUACAAGAGGGGAGAGGAGAGGAAGUGGUGGUCCAGUUAAAGAGAAACGUGCAAAGACACAGAAACAUGAAACGAUACAGCAGGAUGGGGAACUGCACCAGCCGUGGUGAGGCUGAACCCCAAGCACAGGAGGGAAUCUGCACUUCGAGGCUGGCACAGGGGGCCAGGCCACAUCAGGAGGGGCUUGGAAGCCGUGCUAAUCCAACUGGACUCCAGCUUAGCUGGAGCUGUGAUAUGCUGAGAACUGAUACUUGCAGAAAUGAGUUCACGUUGACUUCAGAAGACGGC